UGACGACAAAAGCAAAGCUUACUUUCUCGAUGCUGGUUUCAAUCUCCGACCACCACUGUGAAGCGAACUCCCGCAAUUUCUGUGUCGUCGCUGAGCGCCAUUACCCUCGCAAAAACCUCUGCGGCCUUUCCCUUUACCCGAUGACGAGAUCGAAGCUUCUACUUCGCCUGAGAUGCAAAUCCCAUUCUGCAACUUCAACUCCGGCGAACUCUCAAACCUCGACCACCUCUGACAAACUCUGAAGCUUGCGACAUCAUUGGGUUCAACCAAUUUCGAUCCUUGUCACCAAUUUCCCAUCAUCUCUCUCGAUCGCAAUUUCAAGAGAUCAACCUGGGUUUUUCAUUUCCGGUGAUGUCGUCGCCGUCGACACUCUCUGCUAUCUUCAACUGCCUUCACACGUCACCAUUCAAGCCCUAAAGCCUCAGUUCCUCUUUGAUUCUUUCCGAUAGUGAAACUAGAUGCAAAUUUUUCUCAGACUAGAAAAAAAAAAUUUCAUCUCUUGCGAUUCCUCUUUGCUGUUACUCUUUGUAACCUCACCAACGAACCAAGUCGUCUUGUUCGUUGUUCCGAUGAUUCCAGUUACUCCACCUGAAGCUAACAUCUCUUCACCAUAGCUUCUGAGUCCCGUGAAAUCAUAAUAUUGUUUUAUGAUUUCUUCUUGUAACUGCUUCCGAGAAUCACUGUUCUCUUAUCCUUCUGCUCCACCUGGAAUCAAAGUGUCCUCACCGUAAUUCCAGCUGCCUCCAGGUAACUCCUCUAACCCAUUAAUCAAACUGAUUUUAUUUUAUCGACAUAAGAACAUCUCCGAAUAUGGACUUGUUUCUAUGUUCUUCUUCCUGCGAGAGCACACUGUCGAUAAUGGAGUUACCUGGAGCUGCACCACCCUUCAAACUAGGUUGAGAAGGUCGCAGCAAACCUGAGCUUUCUGUCCAGGUUCUUCGGAUGCAAGUGAAUUGAGAUUUAAGAAGCUAGUUGGAUGGCAUAGAACAGAACAGAAGAGCGUUUUGCGACUGCUCUGACAUCUAGCCUUGCCACGACUUCCUGAGCUAUUUUCGAUUGGACGGCUCACAGAUCUUUGUUUCAAACUCACAUUAAUCUAUGCGAAAGGAGUUGAGGGUGUUGUGAUCUUCAAUCAAGUGGUUGCUUUUGCUAGAUGUUGUCGUCGGAGGAAGAUUAAUUUCACGGAAAGUUGGUUCCGGCGAAGCUUGCAAUGCGGCACCGCUUGCAAUGCGGCACCGCUUGCAAUGCGGCACCGCUUGCAAUUCCUAGUAUAUUCAAUAUCAACACUUGUAUAGACACGUGUUCUUCAUGCCUUUUGUUUGUAAUACAUAUCAUAAUUCGCUCUGCGCUUGUAAUGUAUUUGUGGGCUAAACUCACCCUCUGUAAUUGCCCCUUGGGUUUUCAUCAAAUCAAAUGGUUGACAAAAAAAAAUGUGUGUAUGCGUUUGACUAAACAAGAUUAUACCUGACUAGAUAUUAAUAAUAAUUAAAAAUAUAGUUCUGUAUAUGAUUAGACUAGACAGAAAAAAUCUCAGAUCUAAACUUGGCUUGCACCUUGUGCGGACUCGAAUUGUUAUUUUAUAUGUUUUCAUUAGUAUUGUGUUAUUGUUUUCUUGUAUAAAAUUUAUAAGUAUGUUCUGCUAUC
Molecule: long non-coding RNA, 1644 nt
Organism: Eutrema salsugineum
Lineage: Eukaryota; Viridiplantae; Streptophyta; Magnoliopsida; Brassicales; Brassicaceae
Exons: 4
Source: RefSeq, a predicted model, not a curated record